CUGGCGGCGUGCCUAAUACAUGCAAGUCGAGCGAACGGACGAGAAGCUUGCUUCUCUGAUGUUAGCGGCGGACGGGUGAGUAACACGUGGAUAACCUACCUAUAAGACUGGGAUAACUUCGGGAAACCGGAGCUAAUACCGGAUAAUAUUUUGAACCGCAUGGUUCAAAAGUGAAAGGCGGUCUUGCUGUCACUUAUAGAUGGAUCCGCGCUGCAUUAGCUAGUUGGUAAGGUAACGGCUUACCAAGGCAACGAUGCAUAGCCGACCUGAGAGGGUGAUCGGCCACACUGGAACUGAGACACGGUCCAGACUCCUACGGGAGGCAGCAGUAGGGAAUCUUCCGCAAUGGGCGAAAGCCUGACGGAGCAACGCCGCGUGAGUGAUGAAGGUCUUCGGAUCGUAAAACUCUGUUAUUAGGGAAGAACAUAUGUGUAAGUAACUGUGCACAUCUUGACGGUACCUAAUCAGAAAGCCACGGCUAACUACGUGCCAGCAGCCGCGGUAAUACGUAGGUGGCAAGCGUUAUCCGGAAUUAUUGGGCGUAAAGCGCGCGUAGGCGGUUUUUUAAGUCUGAUGUGAAAGCCCACGGCUCAACCGUGGAGGGUCAUUGGAAACUGGAAAACUUGAGUGCAGAAGAGGAAAGUGGAAUUCCAUGUGUAGCGGUGAAAUGCGCAGAGAUAUGGAGGAACACCAGUGGCGAAGGCGACUUUCUGGUCUGUAACUGACGCUGAUGUGCGAAAG
RNAcentral lists this ribosomal RNA (741 nucleotides) under uncultured bacterium. Its description in RNAcentral is "bacterial SSU rRNA". It matches the Rfam family "Bacterial small subunit ribosomal RNA", at positions 36 to 759 of the family's 1533-position model. The record is from RNAcentral.